This 271-nucleotide ribosomal RNA is filed under the name uncultured bacterium. RNAcentral describes it as "partial 16S ribosomal RNA". It matches the Rfam family "Bacterial small subunit ribosomal RNA", at positions 524 to 794 of the family's 1533-position model. The record is from RNAcentral.
UACAGAGGGUGCAAGCGUUAAUCGGAAUUACUGGGCGUAAAGCGCACGUAGGCGGUUUUAUAAGUCUGAUGUGAAAGCCCCGGGCUCAACCUGGGAAGUGCAUCGGAUACUGUAAGACUUGAGUACGGGAGAGGGCAGUGGAAUUCCUAGUGUAGGAGUGAAAUCCGUAGAUAUUAGGAGGAACACCGGUGGCGAAGGCGGCUGCCUGGACCGAUACUGACGCUGAGACGCGAAAGCGUGGGUAGCAAACAGGAUUAGAUACCCCUGUAGU